AUUGAACGCUGGCGGCAGGCCUAACACAUGCAAGUCGAACGAGCGGCGGACGGGUGAGUAAUGUCUGGGAAACUGCCUGAUGGAGGGGGAUAACUACUGGAAACGGUAGCUAAUACCGCAUACCAUCUGAUGAGCCCAGAUGGGAUUAGCUAGUGGGUGGGGUAACGGCUCACCUAGGCGACGAUCCCUAGCUGGUCUGAGAGGAUGACCAGCCACCCUGGAACUGAGACCCGGACCAGACUCCUACGGGAGGCAGCAGUGGGGAAUAUUGCACAAUGGGCGCAAGCCUGAUGCAGCCAUGCCGCGUGUAUGAAGAAGGCCUUCGGGUUGUAAAGUAGUUUCAGCGGAGAGGCGUUACCCACAGAAGAAGCACCGGCUAACUCCGUGCCAGCAGCCGCGGUAAUUC
This 406-nucleotide ribosomal RNA is filed under the name uncultured bacterium. RNAcentral describes it as "partial 16S ribosomal RNA". It matches the Rfam family "Bacterial small subunit ribosomal RNA", at positions 30 to 526 of the family's 1533-position model. The record is from RNAcentral.